UACCCGGUGCGGCAAGAGGUAAGCCGUCCACCUCUCGAAUGAACGUGGAGACACAGGUUCGAAUCCUGUUCGGGUAA
Molecule: transfer RNA, 77 nt
Filed under: Pectobacterium phage PcCB7V
Lineage: Duplodnaviria; Heunggongvirae; Uroviricota; Caudoviricetes
Rfam family: tRNA
About the family: Transfer RNA (tRNA) molecules are approximately 80 nucleotides in length. Their secondary structure includes four short double-helical elements and three loops (D, anti-codon, and T loops).
Source: Rfam by way of RNAcentral